This 683-nucleotide ribosomal RNA is filed under the name uncultured bacterium. Its description in RNAcentral is "bacterial SSU rRNA". It matches the Rfam family "Bacterial small subunit ribosomal RNA", at positions 338 to 1038 of the family's 1533-position model. The record is from RNAcentral.
CCUACGGGAGGCAGCAGUAGGGAAUGUUGCACCAUGGGCGAAAGCCUGAUGCAGCAACGCCGCGUGAGUGAUGAAGGCCUUCGGGUCGUAAAACUCUUUUCAAGGGGAAGAGGAAGGACGGUACCCUUGGAAUAAGCAUCGGCUAACUACGUGCCAGCAGCCGCGGUAACACGUAGGAUGCAAGCGUUAUUCGGAUUUACUGGGCGUAAAGCGCGUGUAGGCGGUUAGGAGAGUUGGAUGUGAAAGCUCCCGGCUUAACUGGGAGAGGUCGUUCAAAACUUCCUGACUAGAGUUUGGUAGAGGAAAAUGGAAUUCCGGGUGUAGUGGUGAAAUGCGCAGAUAUCCGGAGGAACACCAGUGGCGAAAGCGAUUUUCUGGACCGAUACUGACGCUCAGACGCGAAAGCUAGGGUAGCAAACGGGAUUAGAGACCCCGGUAGUCCUAGCUGUAAACGAUGUAGACUUGGCGUUGGGAGAGUAAAAUCAUCCAGUGCCGAAGCAAACGCGAUAAGUCUACCGCCUGGGGAGUACGGCCGCAAGGUUAAAACUCAAAGGAAUUGACGGGGCCCCGCACAAGCAGCGGAGCGUGUGGUUUAAUUCGAUGCUACACGAAGAACCUUACCAGGGUUUGACAUAUAAGUGGUAGGGAAGGGAAACCGGACCGACCCUUCGGGGAGCUAUGAG